Molecule: unclassified non-coding RNA, 344 nt
Filed under: soil metagenome
Description: partial contains 5.8S ribosomal RNA, internal transcribed spacer 2, and large subunit ribosomal RNA
Rfam family: 5.8S ribosomal RNA (bases 1-119)
Source: RNAcentral
GAUGAAGAACGUAGCGAAAUGCGAUACGUAAUGUGAAUUGCAGAAUUCAGUGAAUCAUCGAGUCUUUGAACGCACAUUGCGCCCCUGGUAUUCCGGGGGGCAUGCCUGUCCGAGCGUCAUUGCUGCCCUCAAGCACGGCUUGUGUGUUGGGCCUCCGUCCUCCUCCCGGGGGACGGGCCCGAAAGGCAGCGGCGGCACCGCGUCCGGUCCUCGAGCGUAUGGGGCUUCGUCACCCGCUCUUGUAGGCCCGGCCGGCGCUUGCCGACACAUCAAUCUUUUUUCCAGGUUGACCUCGGAUCAGGUAGGGAUACCCGCUGAACUUAAGCAUAUCAAUAAGCGGAGGA